This is a long non-coding RNA of Poecilia latipinna (sailfin molly), 535 nucleotides long. RefSeq lists it as uncharacterized. The record is from RefSeq and is a predicted model, not a curated record. Lineage: Eukaryota; Metazoa; Chordata; Actinopteri; Cyprinodontiformes; Poeciliidae. The transcript has 2 exons.
GUGUAACUGGGUCUAUAUUAAUAGUUGUAUAUUUCCACAAAAUGUGUUCUUUCAUGUAUUUGUUUGCUUCUAUUUGACUGUUGUUGUGUUCUUCUGUGUCUACUAUAAGGGGUUCGGUCCUCCAACUCCGCCUUAUUUUCUUCUUCUUUUGUUCAGGGUCCUCCAGGACUAUUAUAAAUAUUAUUAAUUUCCUCUUCCCUUUUGUUGUUCGUUCCACUGGGGAGAGGCAAGUUUUAUAAUCUAUUGUAAUCCUUUCAUUUAUAGAGUUCAAAUGUUUAUUUUUCCUUCUGUAUUAAUGAUAAGUGUUUGGAUAUUUUUAUUUGAGUUGUUAUUACACCUUUAUAUAAUUUGUGCAUGCUAACUAUUAUUUUGUAUAGAUCGGGUUGGAGAACUGGAGCACAUGCUAGGUGCUAAUGCUAAUAUCUCCCGAUUGACAGAAUAAAUAAACGGAGACCGCCUCCAAACCCAGACUUGAUGUCUUGUGGUUUGUCUGAUCACCACACCAAACACAACGCAGAACUCCACCGGUCACACU